GACGAACGCUGGCGGCGUGCUUAACACAUGCAAGUCGAACGAUGAAGAAAAGAAUCGAAGCUUCGGCAGAAAUUCAUUUCGGAUUAGUGGCAGACGGGUGAGUAACGCGUGAGCAACCUACCUCUUACAAAGGGAUAGCCUCGGGAAACCGGGAUUAAUACCAUAUAACAUUGCGACGAAGCAUUUCGAUGCAAUCAAAGCUACGGCGGUAAGAGAUGGGCUCGCGUCCCAUUAACCGGAUGGUGAGGUAACGGCGCACCAUAGUGACGAUGGGUAACCGGCCUGUGAGGGUGAACGGUCACACUGGAACUGGGACACGGUCCAGACUCCUACAGGAGGCAGCAGUGGGUAAUAUUGCACAAUGGAGUGAGCUCUGAUGCAGCGACGCCGCGUGAGUGAUGAAGUAAUUCGUGUCGUAAAACUCUGUUCUAUGGGAAUAAAAUGACUGUACCAUAGGAGAAAGCUCCGGCUAACUACGUG
This 480-nucleotide ribosomal RNA is filed under the name uncultured bacterium. RNAcentral's name for it is "partial 16S ribosomal RNA". It matches the Rfam family "Bacterial small subunit ribosomal RNA", at positions 28 to 507 of the family's 1533-position model. The record is from RNAcentral.